This 2866-nucleotide long non-coding RNA is filed under the name Citrus x clementina. RNAcentral describes it as "Citrus clementina (C. clementina) long non-coding RNA (CCLE_LNC006416)". The record is from RNAcentral. Lineage: Eukaryota; Viridiplantae; Streptophyta; Magnoliopsida; Sapindales; Rutaceae.
AUUUAAUAUGAAAAUAUAGAAAUAGAAAUAUAAAUUAACCGUCGUCGGAACUCCACCGAACAGUUGUCAAAAUGCUGCUGGAACUCCAUUGGAAAGCUGCCGAACCACUGUCAGACGCCCGUCAACCGUUGUUGAAAAAUUACCGAAUGAUUGUCGAUUGUCAGCGGAACUCCGCCGAACCGCCAUCGGAAACAACUGAUAGACACACACACACACACACACACACACAAAUAUCUAAUAAAUCAUGAAUCGUUUUGGAACUUUUUGACAUUAAAAAAAUUUGGUAUUGAUAUUAAAUUAUAUUUAAUUACCAAUAUAAAUAAUUUAAUAUUUAAAACAAAAGAUAAAUUUGUCUAGAGAAAAAAAAUUGUAAUUCAUUUCCUUAUCAAAUUUUAUAUCAAACCCAAUAAUGAAAUUUAAUUUCACUAUUCUCCUCCACUCAUUUUUCCUCCCUUCCUCUCUAUUCCACUAUUUUUCUCUCCUCCCCUUUCUUUAAACCAACCAUGGCCUAAAAGCUCAUGAAAAUGACAAGAGGGGAAAAACUCAUUUUGAUUCUGAAUUCUAUGAUCUAAGGAAACCACAUCCAAAAUCAUAAGAGUAAGGAAACACGUAGUUAUACAAUAAAUAUGUUUGUUUCCCUGUAAUCAAAUUCACAUCUAUGUGCAACGAUGGGUGAUUCAUGUCAUUAGGGAAAAAAAAAAACUCAAGGUAAAACCCUGAAUUUAUGUCACUCAUCAUCUAUGAAGAGGCCACCUUUAUAAAAUAAAAGGUCUUUUGACCAAAAAAAUCAUUGUUCACUUUAGAAAAAAGAAAGCUCAUUUUCUUCAUCUUUCUUCUUUUUUAAAAUUUUUAUCAAACACUAACUUUGUUGUCGAAAUGUCAUUUUCAAGUACUCACCCUACCGAAUUUGAAGCUAAUAAUCACAAUAAGUUUUUUAUAAACUAUAAAUACAUGUUAAGGUAAAAAUUCAGCACCUUCACUAUGAAAAUAUGUUGCAUCUCUGCUACUAAACUAGCUUUUAGAUUCAUGGUGGGACUUGAUCCUUAUUAUAUGUCAACGACCUCUAUCAAUUAGGUAAUCCUGUCAAUGCACGGGGCUUGGGCUUUGUUGAAAUAAAGGACCCUAACUCUUAAAAAGUCUAUCCUUCAAACUUAGGCCUGACACUUUUAAGGUCAAGAUUAGACUCAAGUUUCAUCCGAGGCCAGUCAUUUUUUUUUAAGAAUAGGACUGCUAUUCUUGAUUCUUUAUUAAUAAUUGAAUUACUAUUCCAUUUUUAUGUUGACUUUGGUCGUAAGGAUACCACCAUGUAUAAAAAUAAAAAUCCAUACUUGAAAGUUAAUAUUGCUGUUGCCAUAAAACGAAGUCUCCAUAAUUGCAAUGCAACAAACAAACAUUUACAAUACUUACAAUAAAUUAUAAAUUUGUAUACGGAACUUUACAUAUUUAUCUCUAGAGAUUGCAUACUUCUACAGUGCAUUCUUAUCUUAAUGUUGGAUCUAAGCUAGAUACUAAGCGAAAUUGAAUCAUAAGUAAUAACUAUUAAAAAAGAACCCUAUUCUAGACAGAGCCGAGAGUGACAUGCUAAGAUUUAUUGGAUAAAAUAUCAUCAGCAGAAAGCUUUUUGGAAAAAAGACAAUGGCUAUGAAGGUGCGGUGGCCAGUGGCGGAUUUGGAAAAAUAAUUUACCGGGGACUAAAUUAAAUAACAGCAAAAUGUAAAAAUUGAAACUUAAAUAUAUAAAAUUUUUGGUAACCAACUUACUAUUGUUCUCUACGCGAUUUCAUAUUCUGAAAAUAUUGUGCAAUAGACUCAGUAUCAAUACUAUUAAAUCCAUUUUUUUUCUACACAAACAAUCAAAUUAUCAUUCAUCCAUUCAUCUCCUAUCCGAUUCCGAAGUUCAUUCUUCACAAAUUUCAUUGCUCAAAAUUAUAUAUAUAAGUACUUAUGUAAAAAUAAAUUAAUUACAAUUGAAAAAAUUAAUUUACUAAUAGUUAUAAACAAAAUCACUAAAAAAAGAAAUUGUAAAGACUAGAAUUAGUCACUUGAACAAUUACAAUUUAUAUAGAGAUGUGUUGACAUGUGAACAAAAAAUAAAAUACGAAAUUCUUAACUUAAUUUGAAAAAAAAAACCGAAAAGAACAUGUUUAUUCUCACUGCGAUUAUGAGAAUAAAGAACAGAACUGAUGCCUGCAACUUCCUCUUUUCUUCAAGACAAUCUCUAAUUACAAGUUUGGCAAUCACGGUUCAGUUUUGGGAUUAUAAAUAUUUUGGGUUGUGGGCUUUAUUUUUUUAAAUAAAAUUAUUACUUUAUAAUUAUUAAAAUAAUAGUUUAAAUUUUAAAGAAUGAGAUUAUCUAAUAAUUUUUACAGGGAUUAUUUUUAAUUUUUAAUUUUCUUUUAAACAAAAAAAAAAAUUUUCAGUGGGGGCUUGAGCCCCCAGUGGUCCUGCACUGCAUCCGCCCCUGGCGGUGGCUGGGAACAGUGCCAGCAUUGUGCGACUCAAUCGUCCCCCUCUGGCUCAUGCGUGGCUGCCGAUUAUUUUGGUAGUUGGGUGGCUGGUGAUGCCAUGGUGGUGGGUGGUUAGAUGCAAAUUACCGAAGUCAAGUCGUUGCCUUUCUCUUUUUCUCAACUCUUUGUUGCUUUAGGGCCCGUUUGGUUUUAGUUAUAUAUCAUGAGAUUGGAUAACUUUAGUGUAAAAUAAUCUUUAUAUCAUGUUUGGUGUAAAAAAAAUAAUAGUAAAAUAAUAAUAAUGGGCCCACCACUUAAUCUCAAUAGUGGCAAAAUUUCAUCCCAAGGGGACCAUUGGGAUUACAUUUUUUAAGAUAAAAUUUUGUCCUCUACUAUUCAUGAGAUUAAAAACUAUAACAA